This 253-nucleotide ribosomal RNA is filed under the name uncultured bacterium. RNAcentral describes it as "partial 16S ribosomal RNA". It matches the Rfam family "Bacterial small subunit ribosomal RNA", at positions 524 to 776 of the family's 1533-position model. The record is from RNAcentral.
UACGAGGGGGGCAAGUGUUGUUCGGAAUCACUGGGCGUAAAGGGCGCGUAGGCGGCCUGCUAAGUCGAUCGUGAAAUCCCCGGGCUUAACCCGGGAACUGCGACCGAUACUGGUUGGCUUGAAUUCGGGAGAGGGAUGCGGAAUUCCAGGUGUAGCGGUGAAAUGCGUAGAUAUCUGGAGGAACACCGGUGGCGAAGGCGGCAUCCUGGACCGGCAUUGACGCUGAGGCGCGAAAGCCAGGGGAGCAAACGGG